UGAGGAAUAUUGGUCAAUGGACGGAAGUCUGAACCAGCCAAGUAGCGUGCAGGAUGACGGCCCUAUGGGUUGUAAACUGCUUUUAUAUGGGGAUAAAGUGAGCCACGUGUGGCUUAUUGUAGGUACCAUAUGAAUAAGGACCGGCUAAUUCCGUGCCAGCAGCCGCGGUAAUACGGAAGGUCCGGGCGUUAUCCGGAUUUAUUGGGUUUAAAGGGAGCGUAGGCCGUCUGUUAAGCGUGUUGUGAAAUGUCGGGGCUCAACCUGGGCAUUGCAGCGCGAACUGGCAGACUUGAGUGCGCGCAACGUUGGCGGAAUUCGCCGUGUAGCGGUGAAAUGCUUAGAUAUGGCGAAGAACUCCGAUUGCGAAGGCAGCUGACGGGUGCGUAACUGACGCUCAUGCUCGAAAGUGCGGGUAUCGAACAGGAUUAGAUACCCUGGUAGU
This 442-nucleotide ribosomal RNA is filed under the name uncultured Prevotella sp. Its description in RNAcentral is "bacterial SSU rRNA". It matches the Rfam family "Bacterial small subunit ribosomal RNA", at positions 355 to 794 of the family's 1533-position model. Lineage: Bacteria; Pseudomonadati; Bacteroidota; Bacteroidia; Bacteroidales; Prevotellaceae. The record is from RNAcentral.